Molecule: ribosomal RNA, 803 nt
Filed under: Caulobacter sp. AKB-2008-TE1
Lineage: Bacteria; Pseudomonadati; Pseudomonadota; Alphaproteobacteria; Caulobacterales; Caulobacteraceae
Description: bacterial SSU rRNA
Rfam family: Bacterial small subunit ribosomal RNA
Source: RNAcentral
CCUGGCUCAGAGCGAACGCUGGCGGCAGGCCUAACACAUGCAAGUCGAACGGAUCCUUCGGGAUUAGUGGCGGACGGGUGAGUAACACGUGGGAACGUGCCUUUUGGUUCGGAACAACUCAGGGAAACUUGAGCUAAUACCGGAUAAGCCUUUCGAGGGAAAGAUUUAUCGCCAUUAGAGCGGCCCGCGUAGGAUUAGCUAGUUGGUGGGGUAAAGGCCCACCAAGGCUACGAUCCUUAGCUGGUCUGAGAGGAUGAUCAGCCACAUUGGGACUGAGACACGGCCCAAACUCCUACGGGAGGCAGCAGUGGGGAAUCUUGCGCAAUGGGCGAAAGCCUGACGCAGCCAUGCCGCGUGAAUGAUGAAGGUCUUAGGAUUGUAAAAUUCUUUCACCGAGGACGAUAAUGACGGUACUCGGAGAAGAAGCCCCGGCUAACUUCGUGCCAGCAGCCGCGGUAAUACGAAGGGGGCUAGCGUUGCUCGGAAUUACUGGGCGUAAAGGGAGCGUAGGCGGAUAGUUUAGUCAGAGGUGAAAGCCCAGGGCUCAACCUUGGAAUUGCCUUUGAUACUGGCUAUCUUGAGUACGGAAGAGGUAUGUGGAACUCCGAGUGUAGAGGUGAAAUUCGUAGAUAUUCGGAAGAACACCAGUGGCGAAGGCGACAUACUGGUCCGUUACUGACGCUGAGGCUCGAAAGCGUGGGGAGCAAACAGGAUUAGAUACCCUGGUAGUCCACGCUGUAAACGAUGAGUGCUAGUUGUCGGCAUGCAUGCAUGUCGGUGACGCAGCUAACGCAUUAAGCACU